RNAcentral lists this transfer-messenger RNA (350 nucleotides) under Thermovenabulum gondwanense. RNAcentral describes it as "Standard tmRNA". It matches the Rfam family "transfer-messenger RNA". Rfam says of the family: Bacterial tmRNA, also known as 10Sa RNA or SsrA, is named for its dual tRNA and mRNA-like properties. Its role is to liberate the mRNA from a stalled ribosome. The record is from Rfam by way of RNAcentral. Lineage: Bacteria; Bacillati; Bacillota; Clostridia; Thermosediminibacterales; Thermosediminibacteraceae.
GGGGGCGUUUGGUUUCGACGGGGGCAGCGGAGAUAAAAGCUGCAGGUCGAGCUUUCCGACUCGUUAAACCGGAAGCACGUAUAAGUGCCAACGAAGAAUUAGCACUUGCUGCUUAAUUAACGCAGCACGCCCUUUUUGAAAGCGCCCGGCUUUCAAAAAAGGGUGUCAAAAUACCGGGCUUUUCUCUAAGGGUUAGCUUUGGCCCUUCAGAGAGAACUCAAACAAAGCUGGUCGGUUUUUAAUCCUGCCCCUGGGAGUGAAACCGGCGAGAUCCAAAACAGGGGAUAAACCUGUAGAGGCUUUUAUCGAUGUGCCUUCGGACAGGGGUUCGAUUCCCCUCGCCUCCACCA